UACGGAGGGUGCAAGCGUUAUCCGGAUUCACUGGGCUUAUAGGGUGCGUAGGCGGGUUGGUAAGUCAGUGGUGAAAUCCCCGAGCUUAACUUGGGAACUGCCAUUGAUACUAUUAAUCUUGAAUACCGUGGAGGUUAGCGGAAUAUGUCAUGUAGCGGUGAAAUGCUUAGAUAUGACAUAGAACACCAAUUGCGAAGGCAGCUGGCUACACGAAUAUUGACACUGAUGCACGAAAGCGUGGGGAUCAAACAGG
RNAcentral lists this ribosomal RNA (253 nucleotides) under uncultured bacterium. Its description in RNAcentral is "partial 16S ribosomal RNA". It matches the Rfam family "Bacterial small subunit ribosomal RNA", at positions 524 to 776 of the family's 1533-position model. The record is from RNAcentral.